RNAcentral lists this ribosomal RNA (330 nucleotides) under marine bacterium SIMO-IS134. RNAcentral's name for it is "bacterial SSU rRNA". It matches the Rfam family "Bacterial small subunit ribosomal RNA", at positions 48 to 406 of the family's 1533-position model. Lineage: Bacteria; Pseudomonadati; Pseudomonadota; Alphaproteobacteria. The record is from RNAcentral.
CCUAUACAUGCAAGUCGAACGAAGCCUUCGGGCUUAGUGGCGAACGGGUGCGUAACGCGUGGGAACCUGCCCUUAGGUUCGGAAUAACAGUUAGAAAUGACUGCUAAUGCCGGAUAAUGUCUUCGGACCAAAGAUUUAUCGCCUUUGGAUGGGCCCGCGUAGGAUUAGGUAGUUGGUGUGGUAAUGGCGCACCAAGCCGACGAUCCUUAGCUGGUCUGAGAGGAUGAUCAGCCACACUGGGACUGAGACACGGCCCAGACUCCUACGGGAGGCAGCAGUAGGGAAUAUUGGACAAUGGGCGAAAGCCUGAUCCAGCAAUGCCGCGUGAGU